This 274-nucleotide ribosomal RNA is filed under the name uncultured bacterium. Its description in RNAcentral is "partial 16S ribosomal RNA". It matches the Rfam family "Bacterial small subunit ribosomal RNA", at positions 523 to 796 of the family's 1533-position model. The record is from RNAcentral.
AUACGGAGGGGGCUAGCGUUGUUCGGAAUUAUUGGGCGUAAAGGGCGCGUAGGCGGCUCAGUAAGUCAGUUGUGAAAUCCCUCGGCUCAACCGAGGAACUGCGACUGAAACUGCUAGGCUUGAGUCCCGGAGAGGGUGGCGGAAUUCCCAGUGUAGCGGUGAAAUGCGUAGAUAUUGGGAGGAACACCGGUGGCGAAGGCGGCUACCUGGACGGGUACUGACGCUGAGGCGCGAAAGCGUGGGGAGCGAACAGGAUUAGAAACCCCAGUAGUCC